This 559-nucleotide ribosomal RNA is filed under the name uncultured Lachnospiraceae bacterium. Its description in RNAcentral is "bacterial SSU rRNA". It matches the Rfam family "Bacterial small subunit ribosomal RNA", at positions 68 to 640 of the family's 1533-position model. The record is from RNAcentral. Lineage: Bacteria; Bacillati; Bacillota; Clostridia; Lachnospirales; Lachnospiraceae.
UUGAUUCUUCGGAUGAAGAUCCUGGUGACUGAGUGGCGGACGGGUGAGUAACGCGUGGGUAACCUGCCUCAUACAGGGGGAUAACAGUUAGAAAUGACUGCUAAUACCGCAUAAGACCACAGCACCGCAUGGUGCAGGGGUAAAAACUCCGGUGGUAUGAGAUGGACCCGCGUCUGAUUAGGUAGUUGGUGGGGUAACGGCCUACCAAGCCGACGAUCAGUAGCCGACCUGAGAGGGUGACCGGCCACAUUGGGACUGAGACACGGCCCAAACUCCUACGGGAGGCAGCAGUGGGGAAUAUUGCACAAUGGGGGAAACCCUGAUGCAGCGACGCCGCGUGAGCGAUGAAGUAUUUCGGUAUGUAAAGCUCUAUCAGCAGGGAAGAAAAUGACGGUACCUGACUAAGAAGCACCGGCUAAAUACGUGCCAGCAGCCGCGGUAAUACGUAUGGUGCAAGCGUUAUCCGGAUUUACUGGGUGUAAAGGGAGCGUAGACGGAGUGGCAAGUCUGAUGUGAAAACCCGGGGCUCAACCCCGGGACUGCAUUGGAAACUGUCAAU